This 615-nucleotide long non-coding RNA is filed under the name Homo sapiens (human). RNAcentral describes it as "non-protein coding lnc-SEC61G-1:2". Lineage: Eukaryota; Metazoa; Chordata; Mammalia; Primates; Hominidae. The record is from RNAcentral.
GGCAGUGGGAGGCCAUGAGAGCCGGAAUUCUCACGAGCAGCAGCGGCCCUGUGGCCCUCAGCAGAGGGACUGACUGGAAGCAGAUGUGGCACAAGUCUCCCCAUGCGGCUUCACUGUUGACUCUCAGGACAUCUACCCUGGGGACUUCCCGCACCAAGAAGACCCUGAGUCACAUGCUUGCUGCUGUCCCCAUCUAUGAUGGCUGUAAAUUCCAUUUGCCUGCUGCUGUCCAUGAAUGGAAGUCUACCUGGGACCCUCUCCUGACCUGGAGACCCACACAUCCAAAUGCCUACUUGGCAGCUCCCGUGGAUGUUUCGUGAUCAGCAUUCCCAACAGUGAAAUCCUGAAUGCUCUUCCCCAAAUCCACUCCACACACGGCCUUCCCUAUCCCUUGUGGUGGCAACUGAGUCCACUGUGGGUCCAUGGGCCCCCCUUUCUUUGACUCCCCAGCUCCAGUCCCCUAGCAAGACCAGCUGGAUCUGCUCUUUGGAUUGCCAGGAUCUGCCCACGUCUCAGGGCCCUCACUGCCUGGCCCACACAUGAUGCUCAAAGACACUCUCACACAUGUCCAAAUAUUUAAAAGUUAUACAUCAAACCCACAAACUUUAAUUUGAU